CAGUCGCCGCGGUAAUUCGUAGGUGGCAAGCGUUGUCCGGAAUUAUUGGGCGUAAAGGGCUCGCAGGCGGUUUCUUAAGUCUGAUGUGAAAGCCCCCGGCUCAACCGGGGAGGGUCAUUGGAAACUGGGAAACUUGAGUGCAGAAGAGGAGAGUGGAAUUCCACGUGUAGCGGUGAAAUGCGUAGAGAUGUGGAGGAACACCAGUGGCGAAGGCGAUUCUCUGGUCUGUAACUGACGCUGAGGAGCGAAAGCGUGGGGAGCGAACAGGAUUAGAUACCCCGGUAGUCCCUGUCUCUUAUUC
RNAcentral lists this ribosomal RNA (301 nucleotides) under uncultured bacterium. RNAcentral describes it as "partial 16S ribosomal RNA". It matches the Rfam family "Bacterial small subunit ribosomal RNA", at positions 509 to 809 of the family's 1533-position model. The record is from RNAcentral.